RNAcentral lists this long non-coding RNA (526 nucleotides) under Salmo salar (Atlantic salmon). Its description in RNAcentral is "lncRNA (ENSSSAG00000110687.1)". Lineage: Eukaryota; Metazoa; Chordata; Actinopteri; Salmoniformes; Salmonidae. The record is from RNAcentral.
GCUAGCUACAUCUGUAAACGCUAGCUGGUUAGCCAGGUUAGAUAUGUAGGUAAUGUAGAGAGAGCAGGUCAGUUAUAGAGGGGAAGGUAGUUAGCUAGUUAGCUACAUCUGUAAACGCUAGCUGGUUAGCCAGGUUAGAUAUGUAGGUAAUGUAGAGAGAGCAGGUCAGUUAUAGAGAGGAAGGUAGUUAGCUAGUUAGCUACAUCUGUAAACGCUAGCUGGUUAGCCAGGUUAGAUAUGUAGGUAAUGUAGAGAGAGCAGGUCAGUUAUAGAGGGGAAGGUAGUUAGCUAGCUAGCUACAUCUGUAAACGCUAGCUGGUUAGCCAGGUUAGAUAUGUAGGUAAUGUAGAGAGCAGGUCAGUUAUAGAGGGGAAGGUAGUUAGCUAGCUAGCUACAUCUGUAAACGCUAGCUGGUUAGCCAGGUAAGAUAUGUAGGUAAUGUAGAGAGAGCAGGUCAGUUAUAGAGGGGAAGGUAGUUAGCUAGCUAGCUACAUCUGUAAACGCUAGCUGGUUAGCCAGGUUAGAU